UAGGUUUGAACUAUCUAAUGGGAGGCUAGGCUAGAUACCUUUAUGAGGGCCUACAUACGCUGAUUCACAUUUUCUUGAAUAUAAAAAUCCUUAAUUGAUUGUAAGAAUUUUAACCGUGGUAAUGCACAAACUUGCCGCAAGAUGGCAAGUUAUGACUGCAUUAGGCACCUCAUACCUCACGUCUCUAGCGAGGCAGUCACCAGGAGAAACCAAACUAUGAUCACUGGGAUGGGGAACGAAUGUUUACAAGAAGCAUUUUAUGAAAUCUAGGUUCUUUUUCUCAAGAUUAAAAAUAGUUUCGAAUCUAUUCCUUUGCCUUUUAACUUGCUAGGGUUCUCUGACACAGGAGGGCUAUUUUACACAGUAGUUUCUGGUUUGUUUGUUUUAAAAAGCAAAAAUAAAAAUUGAGACAAAAAUUGAGAUUGUGUUUCUUUAACAUACUUAAGUAUUUUGGGAAUUAUUUGUUAAAAAGUAAUGCAUUUCUGUUUAUUGUUUCUUUUUGUCGGAGACACACGAGUCAAAAGCUGGAGACCAGUGAUUGUAUUUAAGAGCAGGAAUACAAGAACAUUCCUACCUCUCCGUUGCUAUUCCCUGUCUGAUCCUUACACUAUCAUUCUUACCAGUGGAGGAAAUCUGUUCAGUUUUGGCCAAUGAUGCCUCACAGACAGUCCAUACCUGAAGUGAUAUUAGUUCUGCCCUCUUCUACCAACACCACACUGAAGGCCACCCCUUGGUCUUCUCCGUGCUGUUUCUGGGGUGCUCCACGCAGACUGGCACUGAACAGAGCCAGCGUCUCGUACUGGCACUGUUUGGUCCAGACUUAUGGGAUGCUCCUUGGCUCUGGGCUGCAGAUGGAAGAACGUGCUGUGUCCAAAUUUAUUUUUGAAAUGAUAUCGUUGCAGUUGAACUGCUUUUUUUGUCUUGAAGUCCUUUAGACUUUAAAAGAGUAAGACCUCUUUUGUACCUCGGGCAGUCUGCAAAUUACAAAUAAAAUUACAGCUAUUGUUGAAAUUGCA
This 1016-nucleotide long non-coding RNA is filed under the name Cyanistes caeruleus (blue tit). Its description in RNAcentral is "lncRNA (ENSCCEG00000020037.1)". The record is from RNAcentral. Lineage: Eukaryota; Metazoa; Chordata; Aves; Passeriformes; Paridae.